This is a non-coding RNA of Strongylocentrotus purpuratus (purple sea urchin), 84 nucleotides long. The record is from Rfam. Lineage: Eukaryota; Metazoa; Echinodermata; Echinoidea; Camarodonta; Strongylocentrotidae.
UGGGUUCUUGAUAGUACUGGCAUAUGGACAUUGUUGUAAUAAUCUUACUCUCAAUGUUCAUCUGUCCGUACUGCCAAGUGCCUG